This 393-nucleotide ribosomal RNA is filed under the name uncultured bacterium. RNAcentral's name for it is "partial 16S ribosomal RNA". It matches the Rfam family "Bacterial small subunit ribosomal RNA", at positions 523 to 918 of the family's 1533-position model. The record is from RNAcentral.
AUACGGAGGAUGCAAGCGUUAUCCGGAUUUAUUGGGUUUAAAGGGUGCGUAGGCGGUUUGCUAAGCGGGAGGUGAAAUGCCGGCGCUCAACGUCGGAAGUGCCUCCCGAACUGGUGGACUUGAAUGACUCUGCCGUGGGAGGCAUGUGUAGUGUAGCGGUGAAAUGCUUAGAGAUUACACAGAACACCGAUUGCGAAGGCAUCUCACGAAGGGUUGAUUGACGCUGAGGCACGAAAGCGUGGGGAUCAAACAGGAUUAGAUACCCUGGUAGUCCACGCAGUAAACGAUGAUGGCUAACCGCUGGGCUUAUCAGUUCAGUGGCCAAGCGAAAGCGAUAAGCCAUCCACCUGGGGAGUACGACCGCAAGGUUGAAACUCAAAUGAAUUGACGGGG